Long non-coding RNA from Chinchilla lanigera (long-tailed chinchilla), 2582 nucleotides. RefSeq lists it as uncharacterized. The record is from RefSeq and is a predicted model, not a curated record. The transcript has 3 exons. NCBI's taxonomy places the organism in Eukaryota, Metazoa, Chordata, Mammalia, Rodentia, Chinchillidae.
UAUGUUUGAAGUGAGUAUUUUGAGAAUUAAUGGCAAUGUGGCUUUUACUGAAAUAAUUUUUAAUAUUUCAGUACAACUGUAUAGCUUGAUCUCCCCUAGCAAAUGAAACUGUUUUCCUAAAAUACAACCAUUUUAGGGUGAGAAUGUUUCUACUCUCUCACCACUAAACUACACUGAAACAGAUUUUCUGCUGAACUGACCCAGACUAGCAAAAUGUUUCUAAAUUCAUAUACCUAGGAACUCACACAACAUUUUCUCUAGGGAAAAUAUUCUGCUACUCUUCUCUCUGAAGUUCAGCCCUGAUUGCACAACAGAAAUUGCAGCUACCCUGCUAUGCCUGAAAGUACCCUCCAGAAAGAAAUUAAGUGUGUUCAGAAGAUCAGCUUUCCUCUUAAAUGACAUGAAUAGGGAUGUGAGGCAAAAAUGAGAAAAGGCACUCAAGGAACACUCUCCCAUUGCUUGAAGGAACAGGUGGCAGAGCUGUAAUAUCAACAGGAAAGACUUGAUAUCAGACUUUUCUGUGGACUUCUCUGGCUCAGUUUAGUCACUGUUGUCUGUCUGUCAUGGUUCUGUAGUAACUGUGUCAGAAUUUGUUUUCUAGGUCAAUCUUGAAAUCAAUUGAAUUUAGGAAGAAUUUUGUGUGAGAUACUGGGCCCGUGUUGGCAUGCUUAGCAACAAAGCAACAUACUUCGCAUAAAAGGCCCAUGCCAUGCCAACAGCUGUAUACAUACACAUGCAUGUAGAAGUGAUAUGAGUAUAUAUACUGGUACUGCUUCUUUCUGAGCAUGAUAGUGAGGAUGAAAACAUGCACUGCUUCAUGGGAUGUUUCAUUUCAACUGGUCAAAGUAGAAGAAACUAUCUUCUCAAACCUGGUCUGCAUCAAAUAAGUGGGAGAUGACAAAGAGUGACAAACAGGAAUUAAAAAUUAUAUUGGAAAUUGCUGAGAAUUAAACAAGUCACAUGUCAGGUAAAUAAUUAAAUGUACAAAGGAUACCUUCCAAAAAUUGGUGAGACUUAUGAUUUUAAAGUUAUUAAGAUUAAAGUGGCACUCUGAUUGUGGGGACACCUCUAUGUACACCUUUUACCUUCCUUCUUAGCAUGACUAUAUACGUUUGUAAACCUACACAUGCGCAAACUUAGAGAAGCCAAAGGUUGGGUUUUAGUUAUUUUUUGUUCCAUCCAUAAAGUUACAUGUCCUUUCCUCAAUCAAUUUAUGUUCAACCAAGUAAUAUGCUGAGAAGUAGAUCAUAGUUCACCAUGGGAGACAGUCUGUCAUCACUGUUAUAGAAACAGCUAGAGAGAAUGUAUCAAAGUAUUAAAGUACAUUUUGAGGAAAAUAAGUGUCUGGGAGUGAAUGCAGGGCAGAUGAGGCAUUACAAUUGGCACUGCCAAAGUUCUGUAUGUUUUGACAUUUCUUGCAUCAUGUGUGUAUUUGCAGAUGUUAAUGUGGGCAGUAAUAAAAUUGAAUGGUUUCAGGGCUACAUGGUGAGUCUCUGAGCCCUGUUUAAGCUAACAUAAAGUAUAAAGAAGCUGUCUCGAUGAAUUUGUGCUGACUUUCUUCUUGUCUUUUAGGAGCUGAAAGAGUGUUUAUUUAUAAGCAUCACCCCCCUGGAAAUGUUUGUCGUGGCGCUGAACCGAAACUGCCCGGCUGCAUUUGGCACCCGACCGUGGGGGAAGAAGCUGGACAUUGUAUGGCCAAGAGCACAGUCUGUGUUCCUGUGGUUGACUUUUGGAACUGGUUUUGUUUCUUUGUGAUCAGGGGUCGUACUUGAUUUCUCAGGGGCUGGUUUUGGAUGAAACAAAAAAAGAUUCCUGGUGGCCCCAUAAACUAUUGCCUCAUAUUUAUCAAGAAAUAUGAGUGAUUUCAUUUUCAGUGGAUAAAAAGCAAAAAAGCACCCAAAAUAUCGUAAGAAAAACAACCACAUGCAGAAAAGAGUCGCUAGAUAGCCCUGAGAUAUUCUGUUUAUCUCAAUAUUCCGCCUCCUUUGGAUCUUCUUUGUCUUCCUCUUUGGCCUUGGUUUGGCAAGUGCGAGGUGAAAAUUAAGGCACUCGAUAGCCUCCUCGCCCGCAUGCUCCACGUGCCUCUUCAGCUAUUCCAUGGUGCGGAAGAGCUUGUGGCAUCCCAUGCACUGGAAUUCAUCUUCCAGGCCCACCGGCUCAUCCGGGGCUUGGAUGCUGCCCCCUGCCUCCUGAUCCCGAGGCCCUGAUGGUCUCUCAGCCUCUUCCCUUUGCUCCUGGACUUCACUGGGGGAGCGGUCCUCACUAUCACUUAGUGUCCCUUACGGAAGGGAGGCUGAGCUUUGGAAGCAGCUUCCUAGGAAUGCUAACACUUGCUGCUCUUAUCCUCUUUUGGGGCGGCUCCAGGUCUUCUGCAUCCCCUAAGGCAUCUGCACCCCUUUUCUUUGGGACUUGCAUGUAGUAAACUUUCAUGACGCGUUUCUUUUCAGAAGAUUCUGAAGAUGAUGAGUGGCUAUCCAAGAAGCAUGGGGAAGGGGAACGCAAGUUAUAACGUAAUUUCUCCCUUUCCAUCAUGUCUUCAUCUAAAGGCAUCUCCGGUGAUCCAAGACCUGCAACAUAUUGAG